RNAcentral lists this ribosomal RNA (492 nucleotides) under uncultured bacterium. Its description in RNAcentral is "partial 16S ribosomal RNA". It matches the Rfam family "Bacterial small subunit ribosomal RNA", at positions 28 to 507 of the family's 1533-position model. The record is from RNAcentral.
GAUGAACGCUAGCUACAGGCUUAACACAUGCAAGUCGAGGGGAAACGGCAUCGAAAGCUUGCUUUUGAUGGGCGUCGACCGGCGCACGGGUGAGUAACGCGUAUCCAACCUGCCCAUCACUUGGGAAUAACCUUGCGAAAGUAAGACUAAUGCCCAAUGACAUCCCACGAAGGCAUCCGAAUGGGAUUAAAGAUUUAUCGGUGAUGGAUGGGGAUGCGUCUGAUUAGCUUGUUGGCGGGGUGACGGCCCACCAAGGCAACGAUCAGUAGGGGUUCUGAGAGGAAGGUCCCCCACAUUGGAACCGAGACACGGACCAAACUCCUACGGGAGGCAGCAGUGAGGAAUAUUGGGCAAUGGGCGAGAGCCUGAACCAGCCAAGUAGCGUGCAGGAGGACGGCCCUAGGGGUUGUAAACUGCUUUUAUAAGGGAAUAAAGUGGGUCACGUGUGACUUUUUGCAUGUACCUUAUGAAUAAGGACCGGCUAAUUCCGUG